GAUUUGGAAUUUAAUUUCGAAAUUAGUUGGGUUCAUAAACGUGAUGUUGAACACAGUGCGUUGUUCAUGUUCGCAUCUUGAAAGCGAUUGCGAAAUCGAUGUUUGGAGUUUAGAUUUUGGAAUGGAUUCGCUUUUGGAUGACGAGUUGGAAUGAUCGAGAUUGAAAAACUGAUUCAGAAAACUCGAUUUUGGGAUUCGCUUUUGGUAAAAGUUGCGAAAUCGAUUUUGAGUUUGAUUUACUAGAAACUGGAUUUGGAAGUUGAUGUUUGGAGUCGAUUUCUUGCCUGGAUGUUGAUGUGAGGUUCUUUGAUGAUAUCGAUUUGAGUUGUGGUGGUUAAUAGAUGAUUCGCAUCUACAGGGAAGCAACAAUUAUGAAUGUUUAAUUGAAGGAUUGGAGUCGAUAUUGGAACGGGAUAUAUGGGAGCAGUUAGCAUAUUCAAUGUUCGCAUAUUGAUCUUGUUUGGUUUCGCAUCUGCAAUGUUGGUUCAGUUCGCAUUUGGAGUCAAAAUGCGAAGUCAUCUCAUUUAUGAUUCGCAUUUGGUGUGAAUGCAGUUUGCAUUUGGUGUUUAGAUCGUAGGUUUUUGAGAAUCAUCGAGAAAAUGUGCGAAGGGUCAAAAUGCGAAAUCAAAAAGUAAGGAACGUGCGAAAUCUUUUACAGUUAAAUGAGUGGGGAAGAAAGCAAAAAGUUUCAGAUUUGACCCCUUAUAUUUUUGCGAAAUGCCACAAGUAGUCCAACUUCGCAUGAUUGGAGAACAAAAGGGAAAAAGAUUCGAAAAUAGUCCCUGGAGUUUCGCAUUUUUGGAAAUAAAUACUUAACUUCGCAAAUAGCAAUAAAAGCUGAGAAAUUGUCUUUGUUUAGAUCAAUUCAAAAUCAAAAUCUUAUUCUAAAUUUUUUUUUUCACUAUUCAUCACGUGCCCAAUCAAUUUCAACAAAUUCAUUUUGUUUAAACAAUUUACUGUUCAUCCGAUUAUAAGCCCAUUUAAUUGAAUUGUCACUGUCAUUGAUCGGAUUAUUGAGCCCAAAUAGAAUAUGAACCCUGUUCUUCAGCUGAGUCCAAUUCAACAUCUGUUCUCAAUUAUUUGUUUCGCAUAGUUACAUAGAUGAAUAGCUGAGAAUCAAACGAAAAAUUGAUUUAUUUUGAAUCGAGCCUUUGUUACUAUGCUCAGACCUCCAUGGUGUGAUUUCAAUUUCAUCUGGUUUUUGUUCGCAUGUGUGAACGUUUUGAGGGUUAAAUGUGUUUGAUUCUGUUUCGUUCGCAUCCUCUUGAUUUGGGGUCAAUAAUUGAUUUCGAUUUUGUUUGUACUUGGAAUGAGUCGAUUGAAAAACGGAUGUUGAUUCAUCUGAUGUUUGUUGAUCGAAUUGAAAGAGUUUUGAGAAAUUUUGACUUGUGAAGGCUAAAGACAAAUUAGUUUUCGAUUUGGUCUAGAAUCAAUGUCGAUUUCAUCUAUGUCAUAUCUUCAUUAGAAUUGUUUGAAAAUCGAGUCCUAAUACUAUUGAUUGGAGUCUGAAAUCGAAUCACAAAAUCGAUCGAUUGAAGUCAAAAUAGAGUUCGAUUAUUGAAGAAUCGCUUGAAAUCGAAAUUUGAUUCAAGAUGUCUAGCCUCAAUUUCGACUGAUUUUUUUGGAAAGCAGAUGAAUCUUGAAGUUAACAGUUGAUUGAAUCAAGUAUUUGGAAGUCAAAGAAUCAGAUUUGAGAAUAUGAUUUUGAUUAGAAUCGAUGAUGAUUAGAGUCGAUUGAUGAACAAAUUGUCGAUGCGAAGUCAAGAUGGAAUUGAUAAUCGAUUUUGAUUGGAAAGUUGGAAUCGAUGGUCAGUUUGUGAUGUCGUGUCGCUGUUAAUGAAAAACGAAACUGGAUUUCUGAUUAAGGGUCGAACAAUCGAUUAUUUUGGUUGAAUAGAAAUUGGAUUUGUGAUUAUUUGAUGUCGAGUUUUGAUUUUGGAGUCGAAGAUCUGGGAUUGUGGUUGAGAGUCUCAUUUACGGAAUUGAUCUCAUAUUUGAGAGUCGAGCAUCAAGCCUGGAAGUCUAGACUUGACAGGUUUAAAGUCAAUUGAGUGUUCGCAUCUAUGGAUUGUGUUCAAUGUGUGCUGAUUUUUUUUAGGUUCGCAUAUGGGUGAAUCAACAUCGAGUUCGCAAUCUGGAUAUUUUUUGGAUAUAUUCGCAUAUAAGGACAACAAGAUUCUCAUUUGGUGUGAAUGCAGUUUGCAUUUGGUGUUUAGAUCGUAGGUUUUUGAGAAUCAUCGAGAAAAUGUGCGAAGGGUCAAAAUGCGAAAUCAAAAAGUAAGGAACGUGCGAAAUCUUUUACAGUUAAAUGAGUGGGGAAGAAAGCAAAAAGUUUCAGAUUUGACCCCUUAUAUUUUUGCGAAAUGCCACAAGUAGUCCAACUUCGCAUGAUUGGAGAACAAAAGGGAAAAAGAUUCGAAAACAGUCCCUCGAGUUUCGCAUUUUUGGAAAUAAAUACCCAACUUCGCAAAUAGCAAUAAAAGCUGAGAAAUUACAACAUUUUCAGUUCUGGUCCCUGCAGUUUGUGCGAAUUAACGCUUUAUGCCCGGUUUCGCAAAUGGGCUAGAGUUUCGCAUAUUUGACUGUUUUUGGCACAACGGGUCCCUGUAAGUUUUAGAAAGUGAAAAUAUCUACCCGAUUUUUGAAAAAUCUUGCAACUUUCACCCGAAAAGUCAAAAAUUUUCAUAAAUUGGAAAUUUUUUUGUGGCCUUUUCGUGAUUGUUUUUCCAUGCAAGAUUUUUGGUGAUUCAUUUUUGGUACACAUCAAGGGGGAGUAUCGUGAAGUUUAUUCCUCGGGCGCUUCUCAUCCUUAGUGGGUUUU
RNAcentral lists this long non-coding RNA (2821 nucleotides) under Lactuca sativa (garden lettuce). RNAcentral describes it as "long non-coding RNA (LSAT_LNC006725)". The record is from RNAcentral. Lineage: Eukaryota; Viridiplantae; Streptophyta; Magnoliopsida; Asterales; Asteraceae.